UAGGGAAUCUUCGGCAAUGGACGAAAGUCUGACCGAGCAACGCCGCGUGAGUGAAGAAGGUUUUCGGAUCGUAAAACUCUGUUGUUAGAGAAGAACAAGGACGUUAGUAACUGAACGUCCCCUGACGGUAUCUAACCAGAAAGCCACGGCUAACUACGUGCCAGCAGCCGCGGUAAUACGUAGGUGGCAAGCGUUGUCCGGAUUUAUUGGGCGUAAAGCGAGCGCAGGCGGUUUCUUAAGUCUGAUGUGAAAGCCCCCGGCUCAACCGGGGAGGGUCAUUGGAAACUGGGAGACUUGAGUGCAGAAGAGGAGAGUGGAAUUCCAGGUGUAGCGGUGGAAUGCGCAGAUAUCUGGAGGAACACCGAUGGCGAAGGCAGGUCACUGGGCCAUUACUGACGCUGAGGAGCGAAAGCAUGGGUAGCGAACAGG
Molecule: ribosomal RNA, 429 nt
Filed under: Chloroflexota bacterium
Lineage: Bacteria; Bacillati; Chloroflexota
Description: Chloroflexi bacterium partial 16S ribosomal RNA
Rfam family: Bacterial small subunit ribosomal RNA
Source: RNAcentral